GGAAAGAGUAAUUGGGCGGGUGGGGUAGGAAGCGGGAAACAACAAAUGCAAAGGGCUUGAGCUUGGAUGUGAACUUGAAGGAAAGAAAACCAGAGAGGCGGGAGCAUAGUAAGCAAGAGAAGAAAAGGAUACAUUGAUGACAUCAGAGUGGGGAAGAGAGACCAGGUAAUGUACAGAAUUUCAGGCCAAGGUAAGGACUUGGGAUUUUAUACAAACCCACAUUUGAAAUCCACCGGAGCAUACUAAGCAGGGGAGCGAAGAUAAACAUUUAUUUAACAAAGAUUUGUUUGACAACCUACUGUAUACGAGUCAUUUCCUAGUCAUGAGGGUCUAUGCCAGGCCCGGCCUCUGCUCUCAUGGAACUUACAUUCGAGUGAAACAAAUUAAAUGAACCCAGCGACAGGCAAACACCAGGGAAUGAUAAAUUUUAUAAAGAAGAUGAAGUCAAAAAGUGCGGCAGAAAGUGACCUGCAGGCUACUAUAGACUGAGUGCAGGAGAAAUGGCCAACACAGUGGCCCCAACUGAGAAACAAAUGCGCUAGAAUGUUUGAGGUAAGAACCAAAGACAGAGGGGCAAGAUGGGGAGAGUGGUUCAAAACUGAGGUCAAAGAAGAAAUGAAAAUGUAGGUAACGUUUAGAUUAAGAAAAUGAAAAGGCAUUGGAAGGUUUUAAACACGAUGUCUUCAUCUGUUUGAGCUGCUAUAGCAAAACACCAUAAAUGGGGCGGCUUCUAAGAAAUAGAAAUUUCUCUCUCCCAGUCCUGGAGCUGAAAGUUCAAGAUCAAGGCACCGGCGGUGUCCAUGUCUGGUAAGCGCUUGCUUCCUGGUUUAUGGGCGGCUGUCCUCUCAUUGUACCUUCCCAUGGCGGAAGGGGUGAGGGGGCUCCGCGGGGUCUCUUGUGAGAGCACACAUCUCAUUCGUGACAGUUUCACACUCAUCACCUAAGCAUCUCCCAAGGCCCCACGUUCAAAUACUAUCACGUUGAGCAUUAGGUUUCAAUGUCUGAACUGCGGAGGGACACAAACAUUCAGUAUUAACACUGGAGAACAACGUCCACUGACUUUUACUCUAAAGGUAUAAUGGGCUUCAGUGCAGAGAAUGGAUUGCUAGGGUGGAGAUGGGGUUGAGAGGAAGCUGUUUAAGAAAGCACAGCGGUAACUUAGGCCCCAAAUGACGGUACCUUGGACAAGUACCGUCGUACUGAACAAGGUCAAAAGGAUUAGAUUUGGGAUCUUUCUUUUGUAGGUAAAGCCGACGGGACUCCCUAGAGGCUAUGACGUAGAAGGAAGAGGAGGACAAGGAAUUAAACUUCUGGAUUUUGGUUUGACCAGUUAAAUAAAUGGUACACCACUUACUGUGGUGGAGAAGGUAUCCUCUAUGAGGUAAAUAGUUGCAUUCCCACUUUACAGAUGAGGAAACUAAGCUUCAACAAAUAUGAUUCCAAAAUCUAUGCUUUAUCCACCACAGUGUCUUUGCCAGGAGUGUGGAUUAUCCAGGUUUGAUUAAUGGGCAUAGGAAAAAGGAUAUAUAUGGCAAAACAGGCAAGUAUCUUGACAGUGUGCGUAAAGUGCAUGUGUGCAUGCCUCUGUCUGUGUGUGUAUGUGUGCGUGUGUUCUUGUAAUCUUGCUGAGAGAAGUGUAGAUCAGCUCUCUUAUUUUUUAUCCCUUCCUUUAUCUUCUCCAUCUCUGAAAGUGGAAAGAUAGUGGAGAAAUCAGAAGACUCCGGACUUGAGACCAGCCUGUGCUGCGGGUACCAGGAUGAACUCUGACAAACUGAGUCAAUGAAGCCUCUCGAAAAACCCAAGAGGACCGGGUUGGGAGAGCUGCGUUGGUGAACGCGAGCAGGCUCAGGAGGAGUGGUGGCUGGAGAAGUCUGGAAGCCCCUGCGCCCUUUCCCCAGACCUUGCCCCUGGCAUCUUCAUCUAACCGGUGAUUCACCAGCACACCCUUUACUGAUGUAGGAAACAUCUACGCUGAAACUGUCUCUGUGGCCUAGUCUCACCUCAAAAUCUGGUCCAGGGAUCUUGAUGGAUUACUCUUUAUGACCUAGCCAUCGCACGACGGCCUUGAACGUGGAGUUAUGAAGAGAUGCUUACAGCGAGCCCUCAUGAGCCAGGGUAGCCUGGCUCCAGCACACCAGUGACUGAAGAGACAUCUAGAAGGAAAUGACAAGAGGUGGGCGGAUGUGUAAUUAUUGGGCUUACAGGAGCGGUCCCGACCAGGGUCCGCAAUCAUCAGUGUGUGAAUGAGAAUGCAUACUUUGUGGAGUCAGAGUGUCUGGGUUGGUACCCAGACUCUGCCCUUACUAGCUUUACGAUUGGGGGAAAGUGACUUAGCCUCUGUAGGUCUCAGUCUUCACACGUGUGAAUGGGGAUGAUAACAGUAGGUGAUUCAUAGAGUAGCUUCCAGAGAAAAGCGUAUGGAGAUGGAGUUGCCACACCUGUCGUAUGUCGUACGCAUGUGCAAAAUGAAAUCCUUUCUUG
Long non-coding RNA from Leopardus geoffroyi (Geoffroy's cat), 2481 nucleotides. RefSeq lists it as uncharacterized. The transcript has 4 exons. Lineage: Eukaryota; Metazoa; Chordata; Mammalia; Carnivora; Felidae. The record is from RefSeq and is a predicted model, not a curated record.